GUUCCAUCCUCUUUUUAAUACCGGCAGCCCGAGUGAUGGCCGAUCUUAUUGGGCCUAAAGCGUCCGUAGCUGGGUCUGAAAGUCCAUCGGGAAAUCCACUCGCUCAACGAGUGGCCGUCCGGUGGAAACUCCACACCUUGGGACCGGAAGGCUCGAAGGGUACGGCCGGGGUAGGAGUGAAAUCCUGUAAUCCCGUCCGGACCACCGAUGGCGAAAGCACUUCGAGAAAACGGAUCCGACAGUGAGGGACGAAAGCUAAGAUCGCGAACCGGAUUAGAAACCCGAGUAGUCC
RNAcentral lists this ribosomal RNA (292 nucleotides) under uncultured bacterium. Its description in RNAcentral is "partial 16S ribosomal RNA". It matches the Rfam family "Archaeal small subunit ribosomal RNA", at positions 455 to 747 of the family's 1478-position model. The record is from RNAcentral.